GACGAACGCUGGCGGCGUGCCUAAUACAUGCAAGUCGAACGCAGUGGGGACGGGUGAGUAACACGUGGGUAACCUCCCAUCAGAGGGGAUAACACUUGGACACAGCUGCUAAACCGAUACCGAUGGCCCGCCCCGCGGUGCAUUAGCUAGUGGGUGAGGUAACGGCUCACCAAGGCCACGAUGCAUAGCCGACCGGAGAGGGUGAUCGGACACACUGGGACUGCGACACGGACGAGGCUCCUACGGGAGGCAGCGGUAGGGAAUAGUCGGCAAUGGACGAAAGUCUGACCGAGAAACGCCGCGUGAGUGAAGAGGGUUUUCGGAUCGUAAGACUCUGGUGUUAGAGAAGCGGUAUGUAACCAGAAAGCCACGGCUAACGACGUGCCAGCGGCCGCGGUAAUAC
This 403-nucleotide ribosomal RNA is filed under the name uncultured bacterium. Its description in RNAcentral is "partial 16S ribosomal RNA". It matches the Rfam family "Bacterial small subunit ribosomal RNA", at positions 28 to 526 of the family's 1533-position model. The record is from RNAcentral.